This 468-nucleotide ribosomal RNA is filed under the name uncultured bacterium. Its description in RNAcentral is "partial 16S ribosomal RNA". It matches the Rfam family "Bacterial small subunit ribosomal RNA", at positions 28 to 507 of the family's 1533-position model. The record is from RNAcentral.
GACGAACGCUGGCGGCGUGCUUAACACAUGCAAGUCGAACGGAAAGGCCCUGCUUUUGUGGGGUGCUCGAGUGGCGAACGGGUGAGUAACACGUGAGUAACCUGCCCUUGACUUUGGGAUAACUUCAGGAAACUGGGGCUAAUACCGGAUAUGAGCUCCUGCUGCAUGGUGUGGGUUGGAAAGUUUCGGCGGUUGGGGAUGGACUCGCGGCUUAUCAGCUUGUUGGUGGGGUAGUGGCUUACCAAGGCUUUGACGGGUAGCCGGCCUGAGAGGGUGACCGGCCACAUUGGGACUGAGAUACGGCCCAGACUCCUACGGGAGGCAGCAGUGGGGAAUAUUGCACAAUGGGCGGAAGCCUGAUGCAGCAACGCCGCGUGCGGGAUGACGGCCUUCGGGUUGUAAACCGCUUUCGCCUGUGACGAAGCGUGAGUGACGGUAAUGGGUAAAGAAGCACCGGCUAACUACGUG